AGUGAACGCUGGCGGUAGGCCUAACACAUGCAAGUCGAACGGCAGCACAGUAAGAGCUUGCUCUUACGGGUGGCGAGUGGCGGACGGGUGAGGAAUACAUCGGAAUCUACUUUUUCGUGGGGGAUAACGUAGGGAAACUUACGCUAAUACCGCAUACGACCUACGGGUGAAAGCAGGGGAUCUUCGGACCUUGCGCGAUUGAAUGAGCCGAUGUCGGAUUAGCUAGUUGGCGGGGUAAAGGCCCACCAAGGCGACGAUCCGUAGCUGGUCUGAGAGGAUGAUCAGCCACACUGGAACUGAGAACCGGUCCAGACUCCUACGGGAGGCAGCAGUGGGGAAUAUUGGACAAUGGGCGCAAGCCUGAUCCAGCCAUACCGCGUGGGUGAAGAAGGCCUUCGGGUUGUAAAGCCCUUUUGUUGGGAAAGAAAAGCAGCAGGUUAAUACCCCGCUGUUCUGACGGUACCCAAAGAAUAAGCACCGGCUAACUUCGU
This 491-nucleotide ribosomal RNA is filed under the name uncultured bacterium. RNAcentral describes it as "partial 16S ribosomal RNA". It matches the Rfam family "Bacterial small subunit ribosomal RNA", at positions 29 to 506 of the family's 1533-position model. The record is from RNAcentral.